This 292-nucleotide ribosomal RNA is filed under the name uncultured bacterium. Its description in RNAcentral is "partial 16S ribosomal RNA". It matches the Rfam family "Bacterial small subunit ribosomal RNA", at positions 505 to 796 of the family's 1533-position model. The record is from RNAcentral.
GUGACAGCCGCCGCGGUAAGACGGAGGGGGCUAGCGUUGUUCGGAAUGACUGGGCGUAAAGGGCGCGUAGGCGGUUUUUUAAGUGAGGCGUGAAAGCCCUGGGCUUAACCCAGGAAUUGCGUUUCAGACUGGAAGACUUGAGUACGAGAGAGGUAAGUGGAAUUCCUAGUGUAGAGGUGAAAUUCGUAGAUAUUAGGAAGAACACCAGUGGCGAAGGCGGCUUACUGGCUCGUAACUGACGCUGAGGCGCGAAAGCGUGGGGAGCAAACAGGAUUAGAAACCCUUGUAGUCC